Long non-coding RNA from Haemorhous mexicanus (house finch), 5939 nucleotides. RefSeq lists it as uncharacterized. Lineage: Eukaryota; Metazoa; Chordata; Aves; Passeriformes; Fringillidae. The transcript has 2 exons. The record is from RefSeq and is a predicted model, not a curated record.
UUCUCUUCUCUUCUCUUCUCUUCUCUUCUCUUCUCUUCUCUUCUCUUCUCUUCUCUUCUCUUCUCUUCUCCAGGGAUUAAGAUGAAUUGAGAGGUACAGCACUGCUGCACUUCAACACUUGGAAUAAUAGUGGCACAAUGUGGUCUUACACUUCUGGAAAAUUAGUGUGGCAGGUUUAGCACUGAAAAGGAAAGGACCCCUUGGUAAUUAAUAUGUCCCCAUGCUUCUUUGCUUUAAUAAAUUAUGCAGGACUCAUGGGACAGCUGUCCUAUUGCUAGACACUGUCCCCUGCUGGGCUGUAUUGGGGUCCUUCAGGGGAAUAGAUGCAAGCACUGUGUGUGGUGGGGUUCAAAUACUGCAGGACAUACUGACUCAAUGUCUGCAAGCUUAGGCAGAUGUCUCCAUCAGUCAUCCUGCAGAUGUUAUGAUCCUUGAGCAGAAGGGGUAAAAAUCUCUUCUGGUGUGUCACGUUAAAUGUAUUUUCUAGUGGUUCCAAAAAUGGGGCCUCUGGGCAAAGACCUGGGCAAAGCCUCUGAAUUCCUCCAGUUGUAGUAAAGGUCCAGUGUCACAUUACUCUUCCAACCUAAGACGACAGAAGACUAUCUCUAGGAAGAAUAUUCUCCUAACUCAGAAUUGCUUCCCAGUCAGUAAUUUUAAUAUGUGAUUCUGAGAGCUUUGUUACGGACAGCACCAAAAAAAUUUUGUUCUUGUGAUUUCAGUGGUUCUGAGAAGCAACAGCAGCACAGCCUGAGCAUGGUUUUCACCACAUUUUGGACAACAGUCCAGGCACCAAAGCCAACCAUGUGCACACUUGGAUGACCAGGUUUUCACCCUGCUCUGAUUUUCAAUUUAUCCCUGCGAGCAUAAAGUCUUUGAUUCUUUUAAAACAAAAUUUUGCUUGCUGCAGAUGAAUGGCUGCUUUUGAAGCUCAUUAGAAAAGCUAGAGGUCUUUUCUUUCAAAAGAAAACAAGAAAUCACUAGGAUAUGAGGGGUGAAAUAACUGAGGAAGAGAAGAGCAGAGCUAGAGUUAAGUUUUGAGGGGAUAAAUGUAAAAACACAAUUCCUUACCAGCUCCACCCUCUAAAUGGUAUUUACCACAGGGAAAUAUGGAUCCACCCUGGACUGAUUGUAGCAUUAGGAAAAUCCUCCAUAAAUAGCUCUGAGCCUUGCAAAAGCUGCAGUUUUCUCUUCCAAUAAUUGAUACUCUGGUGACAACUUCCGCCUGCUACUUAUGAGUCGCAGUCACCACAUCUGCUAAGGGGGAGAAGGCAACUUCUCCCUUUGCUCAUAAUGUAUUGUCUUGUCUGCAGGGGUAGUCCUAGGAGUGAAAACUUGCUACUAAGUUUGAGCACUUCUUAGAAGGUACACUACUUGGAAACGAAACCUACAAUCUCUGCUUACUCAGAGUUUUAGCAUAAAUGAAGAGGAACCACUUUAACAGUACCUGGGGAUUGGGCUAAAUUGCAUUAUUGCCUGGGAAUGAGGGUUAAUUCCAUACUGUUUACUAAAUGAAGAGUAUAACCAUGGCAACAUUCAGGACACGAUCUAUAAGGAUCUGCCAGUGGAAUUCUGAAAUUAGCAUUCAGAAGACAACCGUUUAAAAGUAGCUUGAGAACUGAAAAAGAAUGUUUCAGACUACAGUCCAUACGGGAAUACACUUCAGUAUAUGCAGCAUGAAAACUAUGCAAAAUUUAGCAGUUCAUUUUAUGCUGAUCUCAGCAGGAGACCAUUUAUAUAGAUCUUUGAUGAGUGAAAGCAUAAUGGUAUAAAUACUAAUAUCCAGUGGUGAUUCAGAUCACAUAACAGCUAUAAUUUUGUGUGAGGUAUACCUAAGAAAUAUAAAUACUACUAGCUUUUUGUGAUCAACAAUAGUGCAAAGAUAGUUGAAAUCUUUUUUCCAAGUCCACUUGGGGAAAAAAGAAAGAAUGACAAUUCUUAGACAAGAUGAAGGUUCUACUUCCUGCAUUUAAAGAAGAAAUUUGUGGGGUGAAUGAGAAAUAAGGAGAAUAAUAUAAAAGGAAGUUCUAGAUCUGAGUUGGUCCCCUGCUACCCCAGUUAAACUUUGUCUAAUAAAUACUUUUUGUUGUUGCAUGUUGUGAUGUUCUUACAGAAAUCCUUUACACAGGAAGUUGUGGUGUGGCAGAAUUAAAAUUGAUUGAAUUGUAGCUUGCUUCUUCCUGUCUCUCCACAGGUCAUUACUGUCUGGAAGAAGCCGAGUCAACACAACUACACCUUUUCUCAUUGAGUCAUGCCAGCUCUUCCUAGUAAUGCUGAUCAAAAAUAGUUCUCUGCUUUUUCUGCCUUCACUUUUAUCAGUGGUUAACAUUGCUGUUUUUGUUCAAGUCUAUGUCUUCUUUUGUGAGCAUCUGUCACUUAGCAGGACAUGCAUGUUUAUAUAAAUAAGUUCUACAAAUCAUGUAGGAAAUGUGUAGGAAAAUACAGAACUGCAGACCUAAUUUCUGAAAGUUGGCUCGAUUUUAAGCUGACCCUGCCCUCUAAACAGAUGCUCAGAACUGUGAUGGCUCUUUAUUGCUACAACACACCGCCUUGGGAUAACACACCAGGUAGUCUGGAAAUAUGGAAUACUUUAUGUGGAGUUGCCACUUCAUGUAAGACAGUGCUGAUGACAGUUGCAUCUGCAAAGAACACAGCAUCAUUUCUUUCCCUUGCUGCCCUCAUAGGUAAAUGUAGUACAUUUAGGAAGCAUUAAGUUAGUCUUCAGAAUGAUGGAUCGAUAGAAAUGAUGGAAAUGAUGCUAGUGAAAAAUCUGGCCUGAUCCCUGGCUAAGCAGACAAUCUCUUCAUAUUAUUCCCAGGGUACCUGUCCUUUAUUUCAUGUUCUCUAUAGGCUUCCUUUUGUGUUUGGGUAUGUCCAGGAGCAAGUUGUUCAUCCAUGCAGAUCUCCCAGUACUUUUGUCUGACUUCUUUUUUGUUGGGAUACAUUGCUCCUUGGAGGACCUUGACCCUUGAAGAUUAACCAGCUUUCUUAGGCCACUCUUCCCUCCAGGAUUCUAUGCCCUACUACUCUACCAAGCAGACCCCUGAAGAGGCCAAGUCUGCUCUCCUGGAGCCCAGUGCAAUGAGCUUCUUGUGCGUCCUUCUCACUCAAACUCCACCAUUUCAUGGUCACUACUUCCCAAGCUGUGUUUGAGCUUCGCAUUCCCUUCUUGUCAGCAAGAACGUGGUCCAGCAUAGCACCUCUGUCAUUGGUUCCUCUAUCAUUUGGAGAAGGAAGUUAUUAUAAGUGCAUCACAGGAACCUCCUGGUUGUUCCUCCAACCAGUAUUGGGGUGGUUGAAGUCCCCCAUAAAGACUAGGGCUUGUGAAUGCCCUGGUGUGUUUGAAACAUCUGGGGAAAUACCAAAAUUUUAUCCCUUCACAAAAUGACAAAACAUAUCCUAUUCCAGCAAUAACUCAGGAGUGUGUUAGCCAUUAAAACUAAUUUUAAAAUAACACAUUCAGAUAACUUCAAUUCAGUGUUUAUAUUAAAACCGAACAAGCAGCUAUCUGUAUUGCUACUGUCUGUUUUCAAAAAUUUGAAACUGGGAAAGACAAUUCAGAAGAUUUGUUAAAAGUAUAAAGGGAAAAGAGGAUAAUCUAGAUGAUUAUUGGGUAGCAUCCGUGUAGGCAAAAAAAUGACAACUGAUACAUAAGCUUUUAAGGGAAUCAGUAGAGCUAAUGUCUGUCAAUAUUGGUAUAGGAGAAACAGAUCUGACUACCAUUUUACUAACACACUAACCAAAUGGUGUUUACAUGACAAUACUGUAAAAUGUAAUGUUUUGAUUUCUUAAAAACAUUCUGACUUACUGCUGUGUGACACUUUUUGUAUAUUAUUGGAUAUUGAUCCAAUGAUCAAUAUGACCUGCUAAUUAGUAGAAUAUUGAGUAACUGGCAGCCAAAUACAGAGCAGUAAAUGCAGGAUCCUAACUGAGGAAGUAUAUUCAUAUUUGGGUUAUUUUAGGAAUUAUUUUUUGCUCUGUGUUAUUUAAUGCUUGUUUUAAAUUAUGUUUAAAUUUUACAAAAUUAUUAAUGAUACUCACAGAUGACCCUAAAGAUUGGAGAUAAUAAACAACAAAGAUAAGUCAUUUAUACAGAUCAGAUGGCUUUAAUAAGUUGGGGGCGAACAGCCAAGUGUUUUGUGGAUAACUAUUAAAGUAAAACAUUUGUGAACAGAGAAAGCGGCAUGUCCUUUUUACUCUUAUAUUUAUGACCUUUACAUUUAGUCUACCCAUCAAAUUCUAGCUCUUCAGAACAGUCAAAUAUGGAGCCACUGAAGGCCAGUUGAACAAGUUGUUCUAAAAGUAAAAUUCUCUAAUAAACAGCCUUUUGUUUUAGGUGAGUCUAAGCCUCUAAUUUGUUGUCCUGGGUUUCCUUGUAUAUUUUGGUUCCAAUCAUCUCUAAGAGUGUUCUGUUAUAUUACGUGCUUACACAAUUUUAUUUUGGUAUCUCUGAGUAAUGCUAAAACAUCCCCAUGCUAUAAAUUGACUCUACUUUUGAAAUUUGAGCCAGUAUUUUUAAAUAUGCCUUAUACCUUAGAUUCAUGACUACUUCUGUUACCCUUUCUCUGUCUAGCAUAACCUUUUCACAAGUACAGCUGUAACAAAAAAGGGAAUAAAACCACAUCUGUAGACAAUUCCCUUAGUCUAAUCAUCAGUCAUGUUAUUUCAAAACUAAUGCUGCUGUUCUCAUCUUCAGAAACUUAUGUUUUGCUGGAUGUAAGAAGAACUGAAAAUGCUGGUUUUCUUCCUUUUCUUUUUUUCUGUUCACAAGUUAUUAUUUGGGGAUUUGGAGGAGGAAUGAAGAGGUGCAAAGAGAUUUGUCAAGAGAGGAUUCAAGAAUACUUAGUGUAAAGGAAAGUUUGAGAGAAAAGCCAGAAAAGUCAUUGAUUCGUGUGGCAAGAUACAAAGACGUUUUUCCUCUCUAUCAAACAAAACCAUGUAUAGACUGCAGUCCAAAAGUAUCUGCAAUGAAAUGGAAACUUGAUACCAGGCUUCUCCAUCUAGUUGACUGACAUAAAAGGAUCUGAUUGCUGAAUGUUGGAAGCUGAACAAAAUCAGACUGGAACUGACUGGUACAAUUUUGCCCUAAUACAGAUCAGUUAACUACUGAAACGGUUUAAAGUAAAUUAUAAUUAUGGUCUAGUUUUAACCUCAAAAGAUAUCUGUCUUAAUAUAGGUAUUGUAGCUCAACUCGGCAAUAGUUCAGGACAGCACAGAGACUUCUGUGACAAAACAGAUCAGUCCAGUGGAUGGUCAAAGUGGAUGUUCUAGCCUUAUCUUUGAUGGGGAGCAAAGUUGUUUUGGUUCUUCCUUCAACUCUCCUACGGAUUUACUACAUAAUCCAUUUUUUUGCUGGUGGAGGCUACCAUUUGUACUGGAACUUCAGGGCAGCUGCAGCUGUUUGAGAAAGGACAUUAUCAGUUGUAAAUGGUGUAGUGUGACAAGGGAUCCAGACUGGCUAAGAAUCUACCCUAAAAAUGAUCAUGGAAGAGACCCAGCCACACAUGGAAUUUUUGCACUCCUUUUUUCUGCUUAUUCCAGUUUCUCAGCAAUAGUCUUCUGCAUUAAUAGUUUAUCUGGUGAUUCUGCAUCACUAUAUGUCUUUAGUCAUAUGGAGAAGGUGGAAUACCAUUCUGGAUUAACAGUUUUAAGAUCCUUUAUUAAGUCUUAUAUGCCUGUGUGAUUUUAAAUGCAACAAGGGUAUGUCCACAUUGACACAUGUUUUUUUAGCUUAUCCUAAACUUCCAACUUAUGUUUUGUCUUUUGUUUGUAAAGUGGUAUUUCAUCCUUUAAAUAAAAAUUGCAGAAGAAAUUAGCAAGAUUACCUUAUCAUUAUUUACAGCAAGUCGGUUCCCUCUUUGUGCAGAGAAACUAAAAUUGUAUCCUUCCUUGGCUGAAAACUUCCUUUCUGCAAGCAAUAAAAGAUGCAAAUAUCCCUUACA